Molecule: ribosomal RNA, 402 nt
Filed under: uncultured bacterium
Lineage: Bacteria
Description: bacterial SSU rRNA
Rfam family: Bacterial small subunit ribosomal RNA
Source: RNAcentral
AAUCAACGCUGGCGGCGUGCCUCAGACAUGCAAGUCGAACGCGAAAGUCCCCUUCGGGGGGACAAGUAGAGUGGCGCACGGGUGAGUAACACGUAGGUAAUCUACCUUCGGAUGGGGAAUAACAAUCGGAAACGGUUGCUAAUACCGCAUAAUGCAGCGGCACCUAAUGGUGACAGUUGUUAAAGCGGGGGAUCGAAAGACCUCGCGUCUGAAGAGGAGCCUGCGGCGGAUUAGCAGUUGGUAAGGUAAUGGCUUACCAAGGCUACGAUCCGUAACCGGCCUGAGAGGGCGGUCGGUCACACUGACACUGACAUACGGGUCAGACUCCUACGGGAGGCAGCAGUCGGGAAUUUUGGGCAAUGGGCGAAAGCCUGACCCAGCAACGCCGCGUGAAGGAUGAAA